This 253-nucleotide ribosomal RNA is filed under the name uncultured prokaryote. RNAcentral describes it as "partial 16S ribosomal RNA". It matches the Rfam family "Bacterial small subunit ribosomal RNA", at positions 524 to 776 of the family's 1533-position model. The record is from RNAcentral.
UACAGAGACUGCGAGCGUUAUUCGGAUUCACUGGGCGUAAAGGGUGCGCAGGCGGCCAGGUGUGUGGGGCGUGAAAGCCCGGGGCUUAACCCCGGAAUUGCACCUCAAACUACUUGGCUAGAGUACUGGAGAGGGUAACGGAAUUCACGGUGUAGCAGUGAAAUGCGUAGAUAUCGUGAGGAACACCAGAGGCGAAGGCGGUUACCUGGACAGUUACUGACGCUCAGGCACGAAAGCGUGGGGAGCAAAAGGG